CACGAAAGCGGAGCGAGUCUAGUGGAGCAUACUUUAACACUAUGUUAGCACAGCUUUAGCUUCAAGCCCACAGACCAAUAGCCCCAGAAUAUUUAGCAGCUAGGACAGAUAAAAAAAAGAGAGUCUGUGAAUCCCUCCUAAUGGAUUUUUCUGAAGGCUACUGGACAUAAGUGAUUGGGAAGCGACUGUUAGACGGGGAUUCUCCGAAGCAAACUGCGCCCUGUCCUUUACUUAGCCCUUCGCGAUCACACAAUUUUCGGCGUAAGUCCAAAUAACCACAUAUCCAAGAAUAUUUAGAUAUUAAAAAAACGAAAAGUGUGCACUCUGAACGACUUCGAAAGACCAGAUGAAACAGAUGCUAUUCUACGUUUUUGUACUAACGACCUUACACCCUAACUCCAAACACCAGGCAGCAGUCCCAGGACAGAUAAAAUGAUAAUCGGGGAAUCCUUCCUUCCUCAUGGAACUUUUUUGAAGGGGAGUUGAAUAUUCAAGGCCAUGAAAAAGACAAAAGAUAGGACAUUGACUCCUGAGUGUUGAAUUUAUGCACUUACUCUACAGCAACCCUGGUUGUUUUAUGACUCUGAGGGUCAUCUACAAACGUUGGAACAUCUACAACUAUUGAAGAUGCAAAAAGGGGUUUUUCAGAAAUACAUUUGGUUUGCAGAUAUGUAUUAUUAUAAAAAAUAAUCUAACAUUAUUAUCAUAAUCUUUAAUAUUAUUAUGUUACAUGUGAGACAUAACCAGAAAUGUCAACGUAGACAAUUUACAAUAAUCUGUUUACCAGGCUGUGAUGAAAACACUUUAAAAGGAGCUCUAAUUCAAACAUGCAAGGAUAUAUAUAUUUGAUACAAUUACCCCCUUUAAAACUGUUGCUGCAAUAUCACUUCUCAAUGUGUACAUUUCAAGCUUUCAACAACAAUAAACCAACCAUCUCAAUAAUGUUUCUCAGACUAACACACUGUUGAGGUUCCUAUUUAGUAAAGAAACAACCACUAAGACGUAACACAGAAAGUUGUAAUAUAAGCUGUAUACAUGUCAUUCUAUACGGAAAACAGGUACAUUUUGAAAGAUUAUGAUGUUGAUGUGAUUUUUUAUUAAUCUCUCAAUUUAGGAUAAUACUGUUUAUUUUAUACUUUACUUCAAUUGUAUUAUUUAUCAUGUCUCAUACACGGCUAAUACAAUACCAAGCCAUGCAAAUAGCUAUGGAAUUAACCCAGAACAGGUGUGUGUCUUUUUUUGGAUCAAUAAUUGAUCAAGAAUUCCCAAUAGGCUUGUGUCACGCCCUGACCAUAGUUUGCUUUGUAUGUUUAUAGCUUUUGUUUGGUCAGGGUGUGAUCUGAGUGGGCAUUCUAUGUUGUAUGUCUAGUUUUUCUGUUUCUGUGUUUGGCCUGAUAUGGUUCUCAAUCAGAGGCAGGUGUUAGUCAUUGUCUCUGAUUGGGAACCAUAUUUAGGUAGCCUGUUUUGUCAUUGUGGGUGAUUGUCUAUGUUAGUUGCUUGUGUCAGCACAUUUGGUAUAUAGCGUCACAGUCGUUGUUCAUUUAUUGUUUUGUUCAGUUUACUUCGUGUUUUCGUCAUCCAUUAAAACGUUGCAUUCACACCA
Oncorhynchus nerka (sockeye salmon) is the source of this 1603-nucleotide long non-coding RNA. RefSeq lists it as uncharacterized. The transcript has 2 exons. The record is from RefSeq and is a predicted model, not a curated record. Lineage: Eukaryota; Metazoa; Chordata; Actinopteri; Salmoniformes; Salmonidae.